GUCUAUGGCCAUACCACCCUGAACGCACCUGAUCUCGGAAGCUAAGCAGGUUUGGGCCUGGUUAGUACUUAGAUGGGAGACCGCCUGGAAAUAACGGGUGCUGUAGGCU
Molecule: ribosomal RNA, 109 nt
Organism: Nomascus leucogenys (northern white-cheeked gibbon)
Lineage: Eukaryota; Metazoa; Chordata; Mammalia; Primates; Hylobatidae
Source: Ensembl